AGUAGAUAGGGAUAAUACAGGGUUAAAGAGGGAUAUAGUAGAUAAGGAUAGUACAGGGUUAAAGAGGGAUAUAGUGGAUAAGGAUAGUACAGGGUUAAAGAGGGAUAUAGUAGAUAGGGAUAGUACAGG
Xenopus laevis (African clawed frog) is the source of this 129-nucleotide long non-coding RNA. RefSeq lists it as uncharacterized. The record is from RefSeq and is a predicted model, not a curated record. The transcript has 3 exons. NCBI's taxonomy places the organism in Eukaryota, Metazoa, Chordata, Amphibia, Anura, Pipidae.